UACGUAGGGGGCAAGCGUUGUCCGGAAUCAUUGGGCGUAAAUAGCGUGUAGGCGGCCCGGUAAGUCCGCUGUGAAAGUCGAGGGCUCAACCCUCGAAUGCCGGCGGAUACUGUCGGGCUAGAGUCCGGAAGAGGCGAGUGGAAUUCCUGGUGUAGCGGUGAAAUGCGCAGAUAUCAGGAGGAACACCGGUGGCGAAGGCGGGUCUCUGGGCAGUAACUGACGCUGAGGAGCGAAAGCGUGGGGAGCGAACAGG
This 253-nucleotide ribosomal RNA is filed under the name uncultured bacterium. RNAcentral's name for it is "partial 16S ribosomal RNA". It matches the Rfam family "Bacterial small subunit ribosomal RNA", at positions 524 to 776 of the family's 1533-position model. The record is from RNAcentral.